RNAcentral lists this ribosomal RNA (513 nucleotides) under uncultured bacterium. RNAcentral describes it as "partial 16S ribosomal RNA". The record is from RNAcentral.
GGAGUUAGCCGGUGCUUCUUCUGUGAGUGAUGUCCUUCCUGCCGGCUAUUAACCCGCAGGCCUUCUUCCUCACUGAAAGUGCUUUACAACCCGAAGGCCUUCUUCACACACGCGGCAUGGCUGGAUCAGGGUUGCCCCCAUUGUCCAAUAUUCCCCACUGCUGCCUCCCGUAGGAGUCUGGGCCGUGUCUCAGUCCCAGUGUGGCUGAUCAUCCUCUCAGACCAGCUACGGAUCGUCGCCUUGGUGAGCCGUUACCUCACCAACCAGCUAAUCCGACAUAGGCUCAUCCGAUAGCGCGAGGCCCGAAGGUCCCCCGCUUUCCCCCGUAGGGCGUAUGCGGUAUUAGCCUGGGUUUCCCCCAGGUUAUCCCCCACUACCGGGCAGAUUCCUAUGCAUUACUCACCCGUCCGCCGCUCGCCACCAGGGAGCAAGCUCCCCGUGCUGCCGCUCGACUUGCAUGUGUUAGGCCGUCGCCGCCACGCGUUCACUCUGAGCCAGAAUACGACCCUACGA